RNAcentral lists this unclassified non-coding RNA (381 nucleotides) under uncultured Pseudomonadota bacterium. RNAcentral's name for it is "uncultured proteobacterium contains 16S-23S intergenic spacer region". The record is from RNAcentral. Lineage: Bacteria; Pseudomonadati; Pseudomonadota.
UCCGGCUUAACGCCGGCGGUCCCUUUAGAGUGCUCGACAUAACUCGGUAGCAACUAACGGCGGGGGUUGCGCUCGUUGCGGGACUUAACCCAACAUCUCACGACACGAGCUGACGACAGCCAUGCAACACCUGAACCGGCAGUCCCCGAAGGGAAAGUCCUAUCUCUAGGAUUGUCCACUGCGCUUCGAGCCCAGGUAAGGUUCUUCGCGUUGCGUCGAAUUGAACCACAUGCUCCACCGCUUGUGCGGGCCCCCGUCAAUUCCUUUGAGUUUCAGUCUUGCGACCGUACUCCCCAGGCGGCGAACUUAACGCGUUAGCUUCGACACUGAGUGGCUAAGUCCACCCAACGUCCAGUUCGCAUCGUUUAGGGCGUGGACUAC